Molecule: unclassified non-coding RNA, 208 nt
Filed under: uncultured fungus
Lineage: Eukaryota; Fungi
Description: sequence contains ITS1, 5.8S rRNA gene
Source: RNAcentral
ACAAAUCUUUGUAUGGUGGAGCCCGAAAGGGACCUCCCCAUAUAUAUUAACCCCGAGCCUGGCAGCAAUGCCGGCUUUGGUUGGGCAGGCCGCACUAAUCCUGCGGGCUGCUCCGGUCGUGCGCCGGAGGCCUCCGGGUCUCUGUGCCAGUGGCCACAUAGACGCUUGUAUGUUUGACAGAGUCGUUGGUGUAACCACAACAAAAUGA